RNAcentral lists this ribosomal RNA (803 nucleotides) under uncultured bacterium. RNAcentral's name for it is "bacterial SSU rRNA". It matches the Rfam family "Bacterial small subunit ribosomal RNA", at positions 62 to 897 of the family's 1533-position model. The record is from RNAcentral.
UCGAACGAGAAAGGGGAGCAAUCCCUGAGUACAGUGGCGACCGGGUGAGUAACACGUGACUACCUACCUUCGAGUGGGGGAUAACUCCGGGAAACCGGAGCUAAUACCGCAUAACAUCGCAGGAUCAAAGCAGCAAUGCGCUUGAAGAGGGGGUCGCGGCUGAUUAGCUAGUUGGUGAGGUAAUGGCUCACCAAGGCAAAGAUCGGUAUCCGGCCUGAGAGGGCGCACGGACACACUGGAACUGAAACACGGUCCAGACUCCUACGGGAGGCAGCAGUGGGGAAUUUUGCGCAAUGGGGGAAACCCUGACGCAGCAACGCCGCGUGGAGGAUGAAGGCCCUUGGGUCGUAAACUCCUUUCGACCGGGAAGAUGAUGACGGUACCGGUGGAAGAAGCACCGGCUAACUCUGUGCCAGCAGCCGCGGUAAUACAGAGGGUGCAAGCGUUGUUCGGAAUUAUUGGGCGUAAAGGGCGCGUAGGCGGUGCGGUAAGUCACCUGUGAAACCUCUGGGCUUAACUCAGAGCCUGCAGGCGAAACUGCCGUGCUGGAGUAUGGGAGAGGUGCGUGGAAUUCCCGGUGUAGCGGUGAAAUGCGUAGAUAUCGGGAGGAACACCUGUGGCGAAAGCGGCGCACUGGACCAUAACUGACGCUGAGGCGCGAAAGCUAGGGGAGCAAACAGGAUUAGAUACCCUGGUAGUCCUAGCCCUAAACGAUGAUUGCUUGGUGUGGCGGGUACCCAAUCCCGUCGUGCCGCAGCUAACGCGAUAAGCAAUCCGCCUGGGGAGUACGGUCGCAAGGCUGA